Molecule: RNA transcript, 979 nt
Organism: Gossypium raimondii (Peruvian cotton)
Lineage: Eukaryota; Viridiplantae; Streptophyta; Magnoliopsida; Malvales; Malvaceae
Gene name: ethylene-response factor C3
Exons: 1
Source: RefSeq, a predicted model, not a curated record
CUUCAAAUCUUGUGACACAAAACCUAGUUUGUGACUCGUCAAGGAGGAAAAAACAAGCUGGGCAAAAAAUCACCCAGUUAUGGAGGAGGAGUCUUGGUUGUUUCAAUACUCAAAUAAUGCAGAUUUAUCAGCGUUUGUAUCCGAGGAGGCGUUUUCCAGCAGCUGUGAGUGGGAUGAGCUCCUUCUCAAGUUCAAUAUCUCCCAAGAAACGGCUUGGAUGGACUUAUUGGGUGAUGAAGAAGAAGAAAGGGGUAAAGCAUCGUCAGAGUGUAGCGACAACUCCAUCGAUGGCGUAAAGGAGGAAGAGGUUUGCUCAGAAGAACCCAAGGAAACGAAGAGUUACAGAGGGGUGAGGAAAAGGCCAUGGGGCAAAUUUGCUGCUGAGAUUAGGGAUUCAACCAGACAUGGUGCCAGGGUUUGGCUUGGUACAUUCGACAGCGCUGAAGCAGCUGCUUUAGCUUACGACCAAGCCGCAUUUUUAAUGAGAGGACCAUCGGCUACUCUCAAUUUCCCCACUGAAGCUGUCAAGGCAUCGCUUAAGGAACUCAAGUGUCGAUGCGAUGAAGACAAGGGUUGGUCCCCUGUGGUGAAUCUCAAGAACCGGUAUUCAUCGAGGAAAAGAUCCAAGAACAAGAAAAUCAAGCCAAAGGACGCGGCAUUAAGGCAACAGCAAAACUUGCUGGUCUUUGAAGAUUUGGGAGCUGAUUACUUGGAACAACUGUUAAUAAGUUCAUGUGAGUGAAAGUAGAGCUCCUUGGUUGCUUUGGGUACUUUAAUCCCAUUUCAUAUCUUCUUUUCUCUUGUCAAUUUCAUUGCUUUGGUGGGGGCGUUGAUUUAAGCACACUCUUCAAUCUUCUUCCUUACUUCAUCAUCUCAUCUCAUAUUAGGUCUCUUGUAAAGUUGAAACAACUCACACAUCAUAGAAAUGUACAAUAAUUUCACCUUUUAUGUUCACAUCCCUCUUUUCUUUUUUUGGUAA